UAUUAGUUUAAUUAUGGCUAUAAAAAGCAUAGUUUAAGAAUUACAUAGCAAAUUAUUUUUAUUUAUUUUAUUAUAAUUGUGUAAGAUUAGCUAGUAAUGAGUAUUUUAUUAAAUUAAUUAAAUAAGUUAAAACUUAAACUGAAAUAGUGGAUCAUGCGCAGUGCCAGCAUCCGCGGCUAAUCUGUAGCUAGAAAGCUUUUUUUAUAUUAUAUAUUUCAUUUUUAUUAGAGUUUAGAAGGUUUAAUUUUAGUUAAACUUAUUAAAAUAUUAUUUGAAUCUUUAUUUAAUUAACGAUUUAAAACAGGAAUUAGAGACUCCUCUAUUAUUUAAAAUACUAAAUAUUUAGUUUAAACUAAAAUAAUUUGGCAGCUGAUUAAUCCAGACUGGGGAUGGUGUUUAUUAAAAAGAUGAUCCGCUUAUAAAUUUACCUUUUUUAUUUAGUUGGUGUACGUCCGGUUUAUAACUUUUAAUUAUUAUUUAUAGUUAGUGUAAACUUAAAUUGUUUAAGCUAGGUCAAUGUGCUGCCUAUAAAAAGGUUUAUUAUUCCAUACAUUUAAAACAUAAAAUUGUAAAAUAAUAUUGAGGACUAGUCAGUAAAGAAAUUAAAAUUGAUUUCUUGAAACGGGUUUAAAUUAGGGUACAUACCGCCCGUCAAUCUCGGCGUAAGCUGAGAUAAGUCGUAACAUGGUAGCUUUAGAGGAAUCUGAAGCUAGUAAACUUAAGUUUUAA
Molecule: non-coding RNA, 729 nt
Filed under: Neobenedenia melleni
Lineage: Eukaryota; Metazoa; Platyhelminthes; Monogenea; Capsalidea; Capsalidae
Source: RNAcentral